GUGGGUAUAGCUCAGUGGUAGUGUGUGUUUAGCAUGCACAAGGUCCUAGGUUCAAUCCCCAGUACCUCCA
RNAcentral lists this transfer RNA (70 nucleotides) under Camelus bactrianus (Bactrian camel). It matches the Rfam family "tRNA". Rfam says of the family: Transfer RNA (tRNA) molecules are approximately 80 nucleotides in length. Their secondary structure includes four short double-helical elements and three loops (D, anti-codon, and T loops). RNAcentral also lists the same sequence under 2 other names. The record is from Rfam by way of RNAcentral. Lineage: Eukaryota; Metazoa; Chordata; Mammalia; Artiodactyla; Camelidae.